This 253-nucleotide ribosomal RNA is filed under the name uncultured bacterium. RNAcentral describes it as "partial 16S ribosomal RNA". It matches the Rfam family "Bacterial small subunit ribosomal RNA", at positions 524 to 776 of the family's 1533-position model. The record is from RNAcentral.
UACGUAGGGGGCGAGCGUUGUCCGGAUUCAUUGGGCGUAAAGAGCUCGUAGGCGGCUUGUCACGUCGGGUGUGAAAGCCCGGGGCUUAACCCCGGGUCUGCAUUCGAUACGGGCUAGCUAGAGUGUGGUAGGGGAGAUCGGAAUUCCUGGUGUAGCGGUGAAAUGCGCAGAUAUCAGGAGGAACACCGGUGGCGAAGGCGGAUCUCUGGGCCAUUACUGACGCUGAGGAGCGAAAGCGUGGGGAGCGAACAGG